UUGCUGUGAGGUGUAUGUGUGGUAAAAGAUGUCCUACUGUGGGACUGAGUUUCUGUGAGGAGUCUGUGCAAGGUCAGUUUUGCCCUCCUGUUGGCUUAACAUGUUUCUGUCAGAACACAUGGUUAUAUUUGAGUGUACUUGUUCUGAAGGCGACAGUAUAGACAUGUAACUUUUAAGUGCAACCUCACACGUGAACGUUUUAACCAACUGCAUCCUGUUGCCUCACAUUUGGUUGAAAAAUCACAAGGGAAGUCCUGCUCUGCACAACAGACUGAUUCAGAAGCAGCCUCCACAUGGUUUUUUUAGGGGUAAAAUGGUAGAAUUCAUGAAGUCUUUCUGUACAGCAUUGGAUAUAGAAGAUAUGCUUGUUGCCAUGUGAGCCUGAGGCUUAGAGACUUCAGCACUUCAAUUAGCUCCACCAGAGCCAGUUUUGGUACCUCUGCAUGACUCUGCAGAAAGUAACAGGCAUAUCCCAGUCCAUGUGGAUUGUGACUGUUGAAUCUUAAAAAUAUCCAGGUUGGCAGUCACCUCGAGAAAUUUUACUGUCAAACCUCCUGUUGAAAGCAGGGCUAUAGACUGAGGUACCCAGGGUCCCAUCAAACUGAGCUUUGAAUAUCUUCAGCAGGGGAAAUUAUGCUACUCUGAAUUUUUCAGUGUCUGUCUUGGACAAGGAAGACGGAAUCUGGACACCACAUCCCAGGUGUGGCCUAACAGAAAGGACUAUGAAAGUGUGGAUGUUACUGUAAAAGGAGACCAGCAGCCCCUUCUGCAAUAAUAUUCCCAAAAUACACUUUUAACUAUAAUUUUACUUCCAGUGAUUUCAUAAAAUAUGACAUUCACAACUGCUGCAGUGGACUAAGAACACAAAGUACUUUUAACUUCUCCCCUGUCAUGUUUCCCUCCAGCUCUGCUGUAAUCUUACCUCCCACCAGGAACCGUUGAGCUCCAUCCAGAUCUGCAGCCUUCUCAUUCGAGUUUAAUGCUGUUUCCUUCCUCCUGGUCUGUCUCCAGUACCUCAGCACCUCUGCUGAGGACCUUCGCAGCACUUACCCAGCCAUCCUCCAGCAGCAUAGCACGACACUCUCCUCACUCCAUGUGACUCCUGGACUUUGCAAAGAAGCGCUGUUGAGGAACUACUACUGCAACCCAGCUCUGUCUGCUUCCUGAAGUGCCACCCAGUGCUCAUCAACCACAAACAGCUGACAGACAGGAUUGGACCUGUUGUUAUCAUCAGUUGUUAUCAUCUCACUCAUCAAGUUCAUGGAUGAAGAUAUGUUUUGUUCUGUCCAACAUUUGAUAAACAUGUUCAGUUAUUGCAAAAUGCAUUUUCCUGUAAGUGGCUAUAGGUGAAAGAAAGAGAAAUAAUUGUAAUGAAAAUUAAUAUAACACAUGUGAGUAUGUGUUUGUGAUAUAUAUAGACAUAAGUAUCUCUCUCCUGUGGUAUGAAGGCUACUCAGCCUCUCAGCAGGAUUAUCUCAGUUGCUCACAUGAUACCUCAGAGGAACUUUCCUCAGGAUACAGUGAUAAAACAUCUGUAGCAACCCUGAAGCUGGGCAUCCUGAAUAGCUGAAAAUGUUCUGGUACUCCUGAAAUGCUUCUAUCGCUUGAUCAAACAAUAGUCUUCCAGAGAGAUGUAAGCAUCCACUCUGCAUAUGCUUUUUGUAUACUGCAGUUGUUUUAUAAUUGAAAAGUACUGACUCAAACUUUUUAUAAACAAAGAGAAUGAAGCAUGUGAAAAGGAGAAGGAUGUGGGGUGAAUUUGCUAUAAGAUACCAUGAUCUUCUUUGUAAUACACUGUUUUAUAAUAAUAAUUCUUAAUUGUAGCCAUUUCAUACAUCUGCUACCAGAAAUCUGUCAGAGAAACAAAGGUACCUGCAAAGCUGAAAUUAUUCCUUGGCCCCAUUUAAUUUCAAAAAGUCAUUCUCUAUCAGUGACAUGGCAGAAUAGCUACAAAACCCAGCCAUGCAACAAGUAGCAGGGUAGGACAAACUCAUAUUUCAAAAUCUUGAUGUUGCAUUCCCAGGAGCUCAGUAUGAAUAAUAAAAGUGUUCAGAAUAAGGAUGUCCUCUUUCUUCCAAAUUAAGGGCAUAUGCUUGGGGAUUUUAAAUCCAAAAGCUCAUUAAAUGUUCUGUCCUAUUCCCCUGUUAAGAUUCCACCAGAUAAAAAGCAAGAUUUGUAGAAAAUAUCAUACUUUCUCUAACAAUGUCUUACUGCUCUUUUCAAGGUUUAAUAAAGAAACUGUUUUUCCAAUAA
Molecule: non-coding RNA, 2253 nt
Organism: Taeniopygia guttata (zebra finch)
Lineage: Eukaryota; Metazoa; Chordata; Aves; Passeriformes; Estrildidae
Source: RefSeq, a predicted model, not a curated record